AAACCUCACCCAGCCUGGACACUGACAGGAUUGACAGAUUGAGAGCUCUUUCUCAAUUCCAUGGGUGGUGGUGCCUGGACAUUCUUGGUGGAGUGAUUUGUCUGGUUAAUUUCAAUAAUAAACAAGACUGUGGCAUGCUACCUAGUUAUAAGACCCCCCUAGUGGUUGACGCCCAACUUUUUCAAGGGACAAGUGGCAUUCAGUAACAUGAGAUAGAGCAACAACAGGUCUGUGAUGCCCUUUACUGUG
This 249-nucleotide non-coding RNA is filed under the name Aptenodytes forsteri (emperor penguin). RNAcentral's name for it is "Eukaryotic small subunit ribosomal RNA". It matches the Rfam family "Eukaryotic small subunit ribosomal RNA", at positions 1210 to 1481 of the family's 1831-position model. The record is from Rfam by way of RNAcentral. Lineage: Eukaryota; Metazoa; Chordata; Aves; Sphenisciformes; Spheniscidae.